Molecule: ribosomal RNA, 492 nt
Filed under: uncultured bacterium
Lineage: Bacteria
Description: bacterial SSU rRNA
Rfam family: Bacterial small subunit ribosomal RNA
Source: RNAcentral
CGGAUGAACGCUAGCUACAGGCUUAACACAUGCAAGUCGAGGGGUAACGAGAGGGAAGCUUGCUUUCCUUGUCGACGACCGGCGCACGGGUGAGUAACGCGUAUCCAACCUGCCCACAACUAGAGAAUAACCUUGCGAAAGUAAGACUAAUGCUCUAUAAUUUCCUUAGAUGGCAUCUGACGAGGAAUAAAGAUUUAUCGGUUAUGGAUGGGGAUGCGUCUGAUUAGCUUGUUGGCGGGGUAACGGCCCACCAAGGCAACGAUCAGUAGGGGUUCUGAGAGGAAGGUCCCCCACAUUGGAACUGAGACACGGUCCAAACUCCUACGGGAGGCAGCAGUGAGGAAUAUUGGUCAAUGGGCGCAAGCCUGAACCAGCCAAGUAGCGUGCAGGAUGACGGCCCUAUGGGUUGUAAACUGCUUUUAUACAGGGAUAAAGUUAGUCACGUGUGGCUAUUUGCAGGUACUGUAUGAAUAAGGACCGGCUAAUUCCGUG